This 450-nucleotide ribosomal RNA is filed under the name uncultured bacterium. RNAcentral's name for it is "partial 16S ribosomal RNA". It matches the Rfam family "Bacterial small subunit ribosomal RNA", at positions 338 to 795 of the family's 1533-position model. The record is from RNAcentral.
CCUACGGGUGGCUGCAGUCGAGAAUCCUUCACAAUGGGGGAAACCCUGAUGGUGUGACGCCGCGUGGAGGAUGAAGGUCUUCGGAUUGUAAACUCCUGUCAAGUGGGAGUAAACCUGCGCGUUAACUGCGUCGCCGUUUGAGAGUACCACUAGAGGAAGAGCCGGCUAACUCUGUGCCAGCAGCCGCGGUAAUACAGAGGUCUCAAGCGUUGUUCGGAAUCACUCGGCGUAAGGGGUGCAAGUGCGAUGUGAAAUCCCGGGGCUCAACCUCGGAAUGGCAUCCGAUACUGGAUUGCUUGAGGACUGGAGAGGAGUCUGGAAUUCAUGGUGGAGCAGUGAAAUGCGUAGAUAUCAGGAGGAACACUAGUGGCGUAGGCGAGACUCUGGACAGUUCCUGACGCUGAGGCACGAAGGCCAGGGUAGCAAACGGGAUUAGAUACCCUAGUAGUC